Molecule: RNA transcript, 1317 nt
Organism: Raphanus sativus (radish)
Lineage: Eukaryota; Viridiplantae; Streptophyta; Magnoliopsida; Brassicales; Brassicaceae
Gene name: DUF724 domain-containing protein 5-like
Exons: 4
Source: RefSeq, a predicted model, not a curated record
GAUUUUCUCCUUCGUCUUCUCCGUCUCCUCUUCUUCCAAACUCCACUGCUCACCCUCGACUGCUAUCAAUCAAUCUUCUUCAAUACCCCCUUAAUGAAUUUGUUUCAUCUCCCUCUCUUUCCCCUUCUUUAUAAACCAUUUCGUCUUCAAUUGCUUCCAUUCAAUCUCGAAAUCUUCCUACUCUCAAAAAAGUUGCAGAUAUGGCUAUGAAACCAAACGGCAAGUCUAUUGUCUCCGCCGGAAAGUCCCCAGUUGCCAUGUACUUUAAAGGUGACCUUUAUGUUUUGGGUAGUGGACGUUACUUGGUGUACCUCGGAUUCAAACCUGAUGUCAUCGAGGUUGAACGUAAGGACUUGCGUCCACAUAUGGUUUGGAAAGAUGAAGAGUGGUUUCGUUGCCAAAAACGAAUGUACUUUUGUCGGGUACUGACACUAGGCAGGCACAUGAAGAGUUGAAUAACAGAGAGAGAAUGCACAAGAUGAAAAGAGGACAACCACCACCUAAGUUGAGAAGCACAGAGCCUAAGCAGAAGACUUGGGAAUAUGCUUCUCGGACACCUGAACCAAUGCCUAACUCUGUUGUGGAAACUCCUAAACCGAAAGAAACAAGAAUGGUUCAGCCAUUUGUAAAGAAUUCACCGUGUUGGAGAGUCUUUGAAUCAAUGGAGAUCUUCAAAGCUGUGCCACAACGUCCGCAUUUUUCAGUACACUGCUAAAGUGCGAGGAAGCGUUCCGUGAAGGAGAAGCCAUUGGUGCAAUGGUGAACUACAUUGGGCUGCUAGAGAAAGUCAGGGAUAUACGAGUCCAUGAUUCAGUAAGCAUGAUAAACAGGAUCAAAGAGUGCUUUCUCAAGCUGGAGAAACACGGGUUUGAUAUUGCAGCGCCUCGAUCUACGAUUAACAAGCUAUUGUCCAUCAAAGAAAGGCAGACACGGGCAUUGGAAGAGUUGAAAGUUGCUGCAGAGAAAGACAAUAAAAGAAGGAAGCCUCAAAGAAGACGAUGUCGAACAAGCCGCAAAGAAGAUUCUUGAGUUGCAGAGACAAGAAGCAUUGAUGAAGGAAGAGAAAGUGACAAAAGAAUAGGAGAUAGCUCGGAUGAAGUAUAACGCAGUGGCUCUCGACCGAAUGGUUCAGUGGGUGGAGCAGGAGUUUCGUGCAACUGUGAAAGCCCCAUGGUACUAAUAAAGUAGAUUAACAUACAGUAUGUCAAAAUCUACUUUUGUUGCAUGUGGACGUGUUGAGAGUUAUAUAAUAAUAAGAGCCUGAGUUUUUAAACUGAUGCCAAAUGUUAUUAGUUUUAUAAACAAUUUUUUGGAGAA